AUGCUUUUAUAAAGCUUGAUAGAAGAAAACAAAAAUGCAUUUUCUGGUUCUUGUUUUCUUUCUUUUUUAUUUUUUUCAAAGAGACAGGGUCUCUCUCUGUCACCCAGGCUGGAGUGCAGUGGUGCAAUGGAGUUCACUGCAGCCUCAACCUCCUGGGCUCAAGCGAUCCUCCCACUUUAGCCUCCCAGGUAGCUGGGACUCAUGUGCCACCACAGCUGGCUAAUUUUUGUAUUUUUAGUAGAGACGGGGUUUCUCCAUGUUGGUCAGGCUGGUCUCAAACUCCCGACCUCAGGUGAUCCACCCGCCUUGGCAUCCCAAAGUGCU
RNAcentral lists this long non-coding RNA (324 nucleotides) under Homo sapiens (human). RNAcentral describes it as "non-protein coding lnc-FH-4:10". The record is from RNAcentral. Lineage: Eukaryota; Metazoa; Chordata; Mammalia; Primates; Hominidae.